GACGAACGCUGGCGGCGUGCUUAACACAUGCAAGUCGAGCGGUAAGGCCCUUUCGGGGGUACACGAGCGGCGAACGGGUGAGUAACACGUGGGUGACCUGCCCUCAGCUCUGGGAUAAGCCCGGGAAACUAGGGUCUAAUACCGGAUAUGACUCCACGGUGCAUGUCGUGGGGUGGAAAGACCUUGUGCGGCUGAGGAUGGGCCCGCGGCCUAUCAGCUUGUUGGUGGGGUGAUGGCCUACCAAGGCGACGACGGGUAGCCGGCCUGAGAGGGCGACCGG
RNAcentral lists this ribosomal RNA (280 nucleotides) under uncultured bacterium. RNAcentral describes it as "partial 16S ribosomal RNA". It matches the Rfam family "Bacterial small subunit ribosomal RNA", at positions 28 to 307 of the family's 1533-position model. The record is from RNAcentral.